GAUGAACGCUGACAGAAUGCUUAACACAUGCAAGUCUUUGGCGAAGCUGUGCUUGCACAGCCUAGCCAAGGCGGACGGGUGAGUAACGCGUAAGGAACUUGCCCUGCAGUCAGGGAUAACAGACGGAAACGACUGAUAAGACCUGGUAAAGUCAGGCGGACUCAUGUCCAGCCUGAUGAAAAGAGAUGCUGCAGGAGAGCCUUGCGUCCUAUUAGCUUGUUGGUGGGGUAACGGCCCACCAAGGCGAUGAUAGGUAGCCGGCCUGAGAGGGUGGACGGCCAAAAGGGGACUGAGAUACGGCCCUUACUCCUACGGGAGGCAGCAGUGGGGAAUAUUGGACAAAGGGGGCAACCCUGAUCCAGCAAUUCUGUGUGCACGAUGAAGGUUUUCGGAUUGUAAAGUGCUUUCAGCAGGGAAGAAAAAAAUGACGGUACCUGCAGAAGAAGCGACGGCUAAAUACGUG
RNAcentral lists this ribosomal RNA (463 nucleotides) under uncultured bacterium. RNAcentral describes it as "partial 16S ribosomal RNA". It matches the Rfam family "Bacterial small subunit ribosomal RNA", at positions 28 to 507 of the family's 1533-position model. The record is from RNAcentral.